This 71-nucleotide transfer RNA is filed under the name Otolemur garnettii (small-eared galago). It matches the Rfam family "tRNA". Rfam says of the family: Transfer RNA (tRNA) molecules are approximately 80 nucleotides in length. Their secondary structure includes four short double-helical elements and three loops (D, anti-codon, and T loops). The record is from Rfam by way of RNAcentral. Lineage: Eukaryota; Metazoa; Chordata; Mammalia; Primates; Galagidae.
GGCCCUGUGGCUCAAGGAGUAGGGCGCUGGCCCCGUGCCAGAGGUAGCGGGUUCAAACCCAGCCCUGGCCA